UUGCUGAUGGCAGUCAUCCAUGCAAAGACAGAUGUCCUCGAUAAUCACGCUGUUUUAUUUUUCCCCUGGACUGCAUGAAUUGGAUUUACUGUACCGAGAAAGACGACAUUGGACAUGACUACAACAGUCAUUUUCCAGGUGCUACGCUAGUCAGCCCAAAGCGUUGCUGUCUGGUCUGUUUGGAGCCAGAAGACGUGACGCAGGAGGUCCCCGAAGACGUUUGGCCUCUCAUCCGGGCAGGCUUCAUCGGUUGAUGCGGCGGAGCUUCGACAGGAUCCGCGCGCGGAAAACCAACUUGGAGGGAUGCCCCGCACCGCGCACCGGAUCAUUCCUUCGGGAUGCAGAAAUCGGGAAGGAGUCCUUACGUGGUGUGACUCGAAAUUUGAGCGUAAAUAGUCGAAUUUGCCGUACAAACGCCGCCCCGUGGAUCCCAACUAAGUUUUGUUGCAUGAACUGAUGAAGCCUGCUCAGGCAGGAGGCCGAAGGUUUUCCAAGAACAAGCGGAACGUUCCGGCUGAAAGAGAAUAUUCGCAGGCGUCGUGAACUGUUAUACUGUAGUUCGGUGGUCCCCGGACCGCGGUCCGUAAGCCAUUUCUUACAGAAAGAAUGAUCAAGUUAGAUCAUGUUUUGCAUUAUAUGGCGUUGCAAAUGUUUUGGGUUUUUCACUUUUGUGUGUGUGUGUGUGUGCGCGCGCGCGCCGCAACAUGCGUGCGUCUCAGAUGACGCUUCCGUGUCUGACUCGCUAACGGCAACCGACCUCAUUUUUGUAGUCACAUCUUGCGUCACAAGCCGUGGGUCUAAGGCAGCUGUCAGGGGAAGGGGACAAAAGAAUUUCCAAAGUAUUCAACGGGAGAAAAUGAAAGCAACAACUGGACCUUCCUCAAAAAGAUGAGAAGAAAACUGAGAACUGGUCAGGGGGUUGCCAAGAGCCCGGCAGCAAUACGGAAGGAGCUGCAGCGAUUGCUGGCGAUUACUGGCUGCUUCCUACACUGGACAACACUUUCCUAUCGUAUUUAUAGUCUGAAAGUCUCACCUUACAGAGGAAAACUUCAGUCGGUUUGUUUUGGGUUGUUUUUUU
Long non-coding RNA from Syngnathoides biaculeatus (alligator pipefish), 1078 nucleotides. RefSeq lists it as uncharacterized. The transcript has 3 exons. NCBI's taxonomy places the organism in Eukaryota, Metazoa, Chordata, Actinopteri, Syngnathiformes, Syngnathidae. The record is from RefSeq and is a predicted model, not a curated record.